UACGGAGGAUCCGAGCGUUAUCCGGAUUUAUUUGGUUUAAAGGGUGCGCAGGCGGGAGAUUAAGUCGGCGGUGAAAUUUUGCAGCUCAACUGUAAAAGUGCCUUCGAAACUGGUUUCCUUGAGUGUAGAUGAAGUAGGCGGAAUUUGUGGUGUAGCGGUGAAAUGCAUAGAUAUCACGAGGAACUCCGAUUGCGCAGGCAGCUUACUAAACCAUAACUGACGCUCAGGCACGAAGGCGUGGGGAUCAAACAGGAUUAGAUACCCCUGUA
This 269-nucleotide ribosomal RNA is filed under the name uncultured prokaryote. RNAcentral describes it as "partial 16S ribosomal RNA". It matches the Rfam family "Bacterial small subunit ribosomal RNA", at positions 524 to 792 of the family's 1533-position model. The record is from RNAcentral.